This is a non-coding RNA of Phalacrocorax carbo (great cormorant), 2152 nucleotides long. Lineage: Eukaryota; Metazoa; Chordata; Aves; Suliformes; Phalacrocoracidae. The record is from RefSeq and is a predicted model, not a curated record.
CCUGUGAGGGCGCGCGGAGGGGCGGGGCGGGAGAGUAGCGGGGCAGGGGAGCGGAGGGCAGCAGCGGCGGCGGCAGCGGCGGUCCCGGCCAGCUGCGGCGACUACCACCCGACCCGCGCGCUCGCAGCCGUUCUCCGAGGAGGAGGAGUUCCCAGAAGAGGAAGGAGGAGGAAAGCUUACUGCAUCCUUGCUGAAAGCACCACCAAAGUUACAGCCCUUGGUGUGAGGAAGAGCUACCAGCAAGACAGGCCAAGAGUCACCUGCAACCAUCUGUUUUCCUUGAUUCCUUGCCAUUAAGCUAUCAGGGUGCAGCAGAAGAGAGUUACCCAAGCACAGCUGGCUACUCCCUCUCUGGGCCUGUCAAACUUCUCAGCAGCAUGCCCCGGUGCUGCAGGCAUCACCAAGGCAGGGCUUCUUAGAUGUGUGGAAUCUCACGGAGCAAGUCUGUUUAAUCUGAGCCUGUUUGAAGGAGGCAGCAACACAGGAAAAGAAGAGUUGGAUGGACAGGCAUUCCCUGAUAGAGGAAGCCAAUUUUCAGGAGCUUAGUGAAAAAGAUUGAAACAUUCCCGUUUUCCAGUGUUGACAGUGAUCUUCCCCACCAUCAGUAGCUUCACUGAUCUGCUUUGGCCUGCUCUCUGCUGGGCCAGGGAGGAUGCCACUCUAUUGCAGUUUCCCUGACCCACAACAGGAGCAGGGACAGAGGCAGCUCUUGCACAGCUGGGAGAGAUACCGGGCAUCUCUGACCUUUGGGGAGAAGAGCAUGAGCAGCCCGAGAAAUGCAUUUUUCUUUCCAGCCUGAGCUGCAGCAUCCUGGCCUCAAGUGCAUCAUCAGAUAAAAUGCACUUUAGGCUGAAAGCAGACACAGAAACUGGUUUGAAUGGGGUUAGACAGAGCAUUCACCCAGGAAGGCUUCAGCACUCGACCACGCUUAUGGUGUUAUUGGGUUAGCGUUAAUGCAGCACAUGUGGUCCAGCAGCCAGAGGAAAUGGCUGGGGCCUUCCCCAGAAUUGAUGGCUUUAUCCCUUGCAUUAGCACCAACCUGCUGGCAGUGGCUGGCUUUGCUUGCAGCAGCAGCCAUUCUUCCUCUUCUGGCAUGUGUGCAGAGCCCUGCUUCAGUUGCAGAAGAAAACAAAAAAAAGGUGCUGCCGAUUGUACAUGUUCAUUCAAGCAGUGCUUGUCAUGACAGGGCAGUAGCAGGAUAUAGCUGUCCUUUGACAACAGCCCUAACUGGCUGGCGCAGAGCAGCCAUCCUUUCCAAGAGGCAGAAGCUGUUAGAGAGGGCAGGAAACAAUGACAGCAUCUGCUCGUGUAUCGUGACCUCGCCAGUCCUCCUGAGGGCUGCGUGUGGUGGAUGAGACGGAAGGCAUGCCCUACAAACCACCGCACCGAUUCCCUCAUGUGCAGGACGUGCCCUGCUGAAUGCCAAAAAUUACAACCACCCUACAAACCACAAUUAAAUGUGUUUAUUAAGUAAAACCACUAAUUUAGAGAUUAUUAUUGUAGAUAUAGAUGCAAUAUCAAUGCUUUAUUAAAGCUUAAUAAAGCUUUAAUAAACCUUCAGCUUGAUUUUGCAGGCUAAAAGCUCAGUUAUAAACUACUGGUGAGUUACAAGCAUGAGCAGCUGUACUGUAUUCAGGUUUAGUUCUCAUUUUCUGUCUUUGGCUCCUUGUAAAUCUACCUGCUUUUCUCCAGUGCUAACUUUUAAUUCAACCAAACUAAAUCUAGACAGAAUUGGUACAGCACUUUUUUUCUGUUAGCUGAUCACUGAGUCUAACUUAUCAGCUCUGUGGCUUGAUAUCUAGAAGCUUAAUACCAGGUCUUGGAAGCCUGUCUAUGCAAGACUACCAUCUUAACUAGCAAUACGAUAUCUGUGAGACCUCCACCAUCAGCAUACGCUUCCCUCAAGGAAGGACGAAAGGAAUGGAAGUGCUGAUCAAGAAGGGCCUCCCACAGCACCAGUGUAAUAAAACAGCCUUCCUCGAAGUGUGGGAGAUUCCAGGAGGCAUUCAAGGAAGCUCUGGUGAGGAGAAACAAUAUGCAGUGGGAUUUCAAAUAGUCCUUCUCUCCAGGGAGAGCCUCAAAUUGGGUUUUUUUUUCUUGAAGUGAGAAAAUCAAAAUGAUAAGCAAACAACAUUCCCAACUAGGCACUUGA